RNAcentral lists this transfer RNA (77 nucleotides) under Symbiobacterium thermophilum IAM 14863. RNAcentral's name for it is "tRNA-Gly". It matches the Rfam family "tRNA". From Rfam's summary of the family: Transfer RNA (tRNA) molecules are approximately 80 nucleotides in length. Their secondary structure includes four short double-helical elements and three loops (D, anti-codon, and T loops). Further hydrogen bonds mediate the characteristic L-shaped molecular structure. tRNAs have two regions of fundamental functional importance: the anti-codon, which is responsible for specific mRNA codon recognition, and the 3' end, to which the tRNAs corresponding amino acid is attached (by aminoacyl-tRNA synthetases). tRNAs cope with the degeneracy of the genetic code in two manners: having more than one tRNA (with a specific anti-codon) for a particular amino acid; and 'wobble' base-pairing, i.e. permitting non-standard base-pairing at the 3rd anti-codon position. Lineage: Bacteria; Bacillati; Bacillota; Clostridia; Eubacteriales; Symbiobacteriaceae. The record is from RNAcentral.
GCGGGUGUAGCUUAGUGGUAAAGCUCCAGCCUUCCAAGCUGGCGACGAGGGUUCGAUUCCCUUCACCCGCUCCAAAC